This 253-nucleotide ribosomal RNA is filed under the name uncultured bacterium. Its description in RNAcentral is "partial 16S ribosomal RNA". It matches the Rfam family "Bacterial small subunit ribosomal RNA", at positions 524 to 776 of the family's 1533-position model. The record is from RNAcentral.
UACGGGGGGUGCGAGCGUUGUCCGGAAUCACUGGGCGUAAAGGGCGCGUAGGUGGCGUCGUAAGUUUGUGGUGAAAGCCCGGAGCUCAACUCCGGGUCUGCCGCGAAUACUGCGAGGCUUGAGUACUGUAGAGGGGGGUAGAAUAUCGGGUGUAGCGGUGGAAUGCGUAGAGAUCCGAUAGAAGACCGGUGGCGAAGGCGGCCCCCUGGGCAGUAACUGACACUGAGGAGCGAAAGCGUGGGUAGCAAACAGG